UGGGGAAUAUUGCGCAAUGGGCGAAAGCCUGACGCAGCGACGCCGCGUGAGGGAUGAAGGUUUUCGGAUCGUAAACCUCUGUCAGAAGGGAAGAAACCGCACUGUGCUAAUCAGCAGUGCCUUGACGGUACCUUCAAAGGAAGCACCGGCUAACUCCGUGCCAGCAGCCGCGGUAAUACGGAGGGUGCAAGCGUUAAUCGGAAUUACUGGGCGUAAAGCGCACGUAGGCUGCUUUGUAAGUCAUGGGUGAAAUCCCACGGCUCAACCGUGGAACUGCCUUUGAUACUGCUUAGCUUGAAUCCGGGAGAGGGUGGCGGAAUUCCAGGUGUAGGAGUGAAAUCCGUAGAUAUCUGGAGGAACAUCAGUGGCGAAGGCGGCCACCUGGACCGGUAUUGACGCUGAGGUGCGAAAGCGUGGGGAGCAAACAGG
This 429-nucleotide ribosomal RNA is filed under the name Fusobacteriota bacterium. RNAcentral's name for it is "Fusobacteria bacterium partial 16S ribosomal RNA". It matches the Rfam family "Bacterial small subunit ribosomal RNA", at positions 355 to 776 of the family's 1533-position model. Lineage: Bacteria; Fusobacteriati; Fusobacteriota. The record is from RNAcentral.